Long non-coding RNA from Triticum dicoccoides, 1897 nucleotides. RefSeq lists it as uncharacterized. The record is from RefSeq and is a predicted model, not a curated record. The transcript is spliced from 3 exons. Lineage: Eukaryota; Viridiplantae; Streptophyta; Magnoliopsida; Poales; Poaceae.
CCCCCUCCGGCCCUCCCCCGAUUCCUCUCCUACCCGAGAUACAUAACGACGACGCAGCCACCGCCACCUUCGAUUUGGGGUAACUCCGGCGCUCUGCCGCACCAUAGCUCACUGGCCUUGCUCCACCUUAGUGCUUCUGGCCAAUCCUCCUCCACGGGGACGUCCUCCACGCCCCUACACGUGUCUAUACAUCAUCCCUAGUCGGCACGGGUCGCCGGCGUAGCUCCUACCCCUCCAGUUUGUCGGCUCACUAACCCCCACAUCUCCGGAUGCGCGGUUGCCGCCAUAGGCUCGAUGGUGCUACUCCGCCUCGUCAACCUUGACCCAGACGGCGAUUUUUUAGUGAGACACUUCUCCCCUCUGUUCCACUCUGUUCUUAUCCUCUGUGCUUUAUGUGGCAGGGCUAUCUAGGGUUUGCCGUUGUGGCGUCGUAGAUGACAGCUGGAUAUAUAUACCUAUGGCAGCACGGCACCUCUCCCCAGGGAGGCUGCCAUGGUCGCCUACUGCCUACCCCACCGCUCAGCAGGAUUAUCUCCCUGAAGAACAUUACCGUUCCCUUAUUCCCACAAAUCUGUUCCCCCCUAAUUUACAACAUGGUGGCUUCUAUAAUUCCAUUGGCAUUUGGUGCCCUAGCUUCUCUAACCUUCCACAUGUUCCAUGGGUGGACCAAUUACUGUACUUAAAUUAAGGUGUGAUCCUCACUUUUUUUUUGAAGGAAACCCGGUCCUCUAAUUUUGCUAUGCAUGUUUCUGCUGGUGAUCCCCUGAUUUAGUUGUGCAGACCAUAUUGUGUUCGCACCUAUAUUACCCAUAUAUAUGUACUUAUUUCUCUAGACGUCUAUCAUACUCUUGAGUGUUAGAUUAUACUAUAGAGCAAAAUAAUUGUUUUGCCUCAAAUGACUAUUCACCAGUCUUGUUUAUAUCAAUGCUUGCAUCCUUCGAGGCCUCUCGGUAGAGAAUCUAGUUUUCGGUGGAAACAAGGGUGAUCAUGCAUUAUUUAUUCACUCCUGUUACUAAAGCUUCUGUUGUCAAGGAGGCAGUGAUAUUCUAAGUGCAUAACUACUCCUUCGUCAGUAAGAUUAAGCAUUAUUAUAUAGAAUGGCAUAUUAAAAAUCCAUAUAGAUCACAGUCUAGACAUCUCACACUUGCUAGCAUGCGAAAGUAUGUAGGUAAAUUUGAUCCAUUUGAAUGAUUUUUUUUAACUUCAAGUACUUCUAAAUUAUGAAAUCUUUGUAUUUAUUUGGAUAUUAUGAUGAAUUGCAAUCUUCUUAAGAUCGGAAGGAUGCAUCACAACAAAGAAUGCUUCGUGAGAUGCCACAGUACAUCUUUUAUUCUCACUAGUAUGUGAAUUUUAAGUUGUUAUUUAGUGAACUAUGGUCUUGUAGGUUUACACAAUAUUAAAGAUACAAAGCUACCUAAGGUAAUCAGAUUACGCAUUUGCAUGUGUGCUGCAACAUGUGAAGAUAAAUAGGACGAGCGAUGAUGGCAGCACGACAAUGGCAUCAUGUAGGAUAAUAACUGUAACAACUCUUCUGUGCGUCCGCCUAUUCAUAUGCUCUGACUUUAGAAGUACAAACCAACAAAAAGAAAGAUGAAGAAUGUGCAAUUUCUUAUGGCUGCAACUGGCAGGAACUAUCUUGAGGAUAUGCAUUAUGUUAUAGCUGAUGCCAAGAGAGACUGAUCAUUUUGGUUUUAGUUAAUGAAUGUUGAACUUGUCAGUCUAGAUGCUCAUGUGAUGAGCUUAUUUUUUGUUUCCUUCAAUGAAGCUUCGAUCUGUUUCUAUGUAGAGUGCACAUGUUCUUGUUAAACACAUGUGUACAAGCUGAAGGUGUUCUUUGUAAAGCAACACUGUGUUCUUUGGAUGAUGUUCUUUAUAAAACAACAUUGUUGAUUUAAUA